UUUUCUGAUGGUGAUAUUAUGACAGUGUGUGUUUGUGUGGGGUUCGUGUGAUGUAAUCUUUGAAAGUUUAUGACCGAACCUUUAUUGGGGAGCGACAAGAGAUCUCCGGCAUCAGUUUGUAUGGAGCAGAGCUGUUAUACUCAAGUCUAUUGGUAUGUAUGUGUUUCGCUGUGUUCGUUCCAGUAUUUUGUCUGAUUUAUUUAAAAACUAAAAAUUCGAUCUCUGGUAUUGCAUCGAAAUUGUCUAAACUGGUAUUAACUAUUCCUGGUAAAUCGCGGAGAAGAGUGGAAUGAACAAAAAGUCAGACCGUGACUAGAACCAUCAGCAGCGUAACAAGGAAAUCUUGGAACAAAAGAGACGCCGAGUGGCUCGUGUUGUCCGGUUUGGAUAUCAACGGCAAAGCGAACGUUGUGUGUACUAUUGCAAAAAUAUAUACUGGAUCUCCACGGUUAGGAUACAGACCACAACACUUUGGACGUAUCUUUAAAAAAGAGAAAAAUCUGAGACUUUUUGGAUUUGUCUGGGACAUUUUAAACAUUUUGUGACAUAUUGGAUUUAAAACAUUUCGGAUACUGGAUACCUGUGUUGAUUUGUCCACAGAGCUGAUCGCUUUUUAAAAUCACAAGGGUAAGUGUCUAAAUACAUUUUUUUUUUCAUCGCUCAUAUAAUCCGUUUUUUUUUUUACUCAUUUUGGCUUAGAGUUUUUCAUUGUUUUAAAUAUAUUGUUUUACUGCUAUUUUAAACUUGUGUUCUUGUUAUAUUUUUGGUUUAUUUUUCAUCGUUUAUAUAAUCCGUUUUUAUACUCAUUUUGGUUUAGAGUUUUUCAUUGUUUUAAAUAUAUUGCUUUACUGUUGUUUUAAACUUGUGUCCUUAAUACCUAUUGGUUUAUUUUUUUCAUCGUAAUCCGUUUUUAUAAUCAUUUUGGUUUAGAGUUUUUUCAUUGAUUUAACUAUAUUGUUUGUUUUUUUGGUUUAGUUUUAUUGUGUUUACAUUGUUUGAUUAUUUGAAUAUUUUGGGGUUUCACUGUGUUUCCGAAUAUUGUGUUAGAAAUGGCCCAAAAACGUAAUUCGGACUCUGGUUGUAGUCAUGCGAAUAAAAUUAUAAGGCGCAAUGAA
Paramisgurnus dabryanus is the source of this 1115-nucleotide non-coding RNA. NCBI's taxonomy places the organism in Eukaryota, Metazoa, Chordata, Actinopteri, Cypriniformes, Cobitidae. The record is from RefSeq and is a predicted model, not a curated record.